Molecule: ribosomal RNA, 378 nt
Filed under: uncultured bacterium
Lineage: Bacteria
Description: bacterial SSU rRNA
Rfam family: Bacterial small subunit ribosomal RNA
Source: RNAcentral
AUACGAGGGGUGCAAGCGUUAUUCGGAAUGACUGGGCGUAAAGGGUGUGUAGACGGUAUGUUAAGUCUAUUGUUAAAUUCUUCGGCCUAACCGAGGACCUGCGAUAGAAACUGGCAAACUAGAGGGUGGAAGAGAGAAGUGGAAUUCUCGGAGUAGCGGUAAAAUGCGUAGAUCUCGAGAGGAACACCAAUGGCGAAGGCAGCUUCUUGGUCCAUACCUGACGUUGAGACACGAAAGCGUGGGGAGCAAACAGGAUUAGAUACCCUGGUAGUCCACGCUGUAAACGAUGAUCACUAGACGUCGGCCUAGCUUAGCUGGGUUGGGGUCGCAGCUAACGCGUUAAGUGAUCCGCCUGGGGAGUACGGUCGCAAGAUUAAA